Non-coding RNA from Myotis brandtii (Brandt's bat), 114 nucleotides. The record is from Rfam. NCBI's taxonomy places the organism in Eukaryota, Metazoa, Chordata, Mammalia, Chiroptera, Vespertilionidae.
UCUAGCACAAAUUUAUAUAAAAUAUUAUGAUAUCAAUAUGCUCUUCAUUAAUAUUCAGUAUGAAAUGAACACAGAAGAUAAAACAUUUUUCAUGAGAAGGAUGGUAAUAUAAAC